GUGCACAUUUCAUUGUCUUUUUUCUUUAUGGCAAGAGAAAAGAUAUUUCUGAUGUGCUAAACAAACAUUUGGAGGUAAAUUAGCAGCAUGACUAAUUUAGUCAUUGCUGUCAGUCACCUUCAGACAAAU
This 129-nucleotide small nucleolar RNA is filed under the name Carlito syrichta (Philippine tarsier). Lineage: Eukaryota; Metazoa; Chordata; Mammalia; Primates; Tarsiidae. The record is from RNAcentral.